GAUGAACGCUGGCGGCGUGCCUAAUACAUGCAAGUCGAGCGAACAGACGAGGAGCUUGCUCCUCUGACGUUAGCGGCGGACGUGUGAGUAACACGUGUAUAACCUACCUAUAAUACUGGUAUAAUUUGGGGAAACCGGAUCAAAUACGAUAGAAUAUAUUGAUCCGCAUGGUUGAUUGGUAAAUUACGGUUUUUCUGGCUGUUCUAGAGGGUUCCGCGCCGCAUUAGCUAGUUGGUAAGGUAACGGCUUACCAAGGCAACGAUGCGUAGCCGACCUGAGAGGGUGAUAGGCCACCCUGGAACUGAGACACGGUCCAGACUCCUACGGGAGGCCGCAGUAGGGAAUCUUCCGCAAUGGGCGAAAGCCUGACGGAGCAACGCCGCGUGAGUGAUGAAGGUCUUCGGAUCGUAAAACUCUGUUAUUAGGGAAGAACAAAUGUGUAAGUAACUAUGCACGUCUUGACGGUACCUAAUCAGAAAGCCACGGCUAACUACGUG
This 497-nucleotide ribosomal RNA is filed under the name uncultured bacterium. Its description in RNAcentral is "partial 16S ribosomal RNA". It matches the Rfam family "Bacterial small subunit ribosomal RNA", at positions 28 to 507 of the family's 1533-position model. The record is from RNAcentral.